UACGUAGGGUGCGAGCGUUGUCCGGAAUUAUUGGCGUAAAGGGCUCGUAGGCGGUCUGUUGCGUCAGGAGUGAAAACUCGGGGCUUAACCCCGAGCCUGCUUCUGAUACGGGCAGACUAGAGGUAUGCAGGGGAGAACGGAAUUCCGUGGUGUAGCGGUGAAAUGCGCAGAUAUCAGGAGGAACACCGGUGGCGAAGGCGGGUCUCUGGGCAAUAACUGACGCUGAGGAGCGAAAGCGUGGGGAGCGAACAGG
RNAcentral lists this ribosomal RNA (253 nucleotides) under uncultured bacterium. Its description in RNAcentral is "partial 16S ribosomal RNA". It matches the Rfam family "Bacterial small subunit ribosomal RNA", at positions 524 to 776 of the family's 1533-position model. The record is from RNAcentral.